AAGGGCACCACAAGAACGGGUGGAGCAUGUGGCUUAAUUUGACUCAACGCGGGAAAACUUACCGGGUCCGGACACACUGAGGAUUGACAGGCGACCAUUUUGUAAAUAUGCUAGUCCUUUCAUGAUUGUGUGAUAGGUGGUGCAUGGCCGUUCUUAGUUCGUGGAGUGAUCUGUCUGCUUAAUUGCGUUUCAGAUAAAUGGAGUCUUGAGUAUGUUAGUGUGCCUCGGUAAAACGAGGUAUCUCUGGCUGAGCUCUGCUCCUUGAAAGCAACGAACGUGACCGCAGCCCUUUGUUGGUCGUCCACCGCUUCGGCGUUGUGUUUUGACGUCUUAACUAAGGGGACCGCCAGGCUUUUUAAAACCGGAGGAAGGUUGCGGCAAUAACAGGUCUGUGAUGCCCUUAGAUGUUCCGGGCUGCACACGUGCUACAAUGAUUGUUACAGAAAGUAUCUACUACUGAUUGUUCUCGAAGGCUUUGGUCGGAAAGGACCACGGAUAGCAUUAAGUCGGAUACCCUUUUCUAGGACUGUCUGGCUUUUUAUAGCUACUGUGAAACCUACCUCGAAAGUUCGGUAGGCAAUCAAUUCCAAGUGACAAUCUCCCCUGCACAAAUCAAAUGUUACUUUGCGUGGUAUUUAUACCUCACUCAGUUGACAUGUGCUCUAUAAAUUCGUGGUCGGGACAGACCAUUGCUAAUUGUUGGUCUCGGUCUCAACUAGGAAUGCCUUGUACGGGUCUUUGGUUCAACAAACCACCCGGAAUACGUCCCUGCCCUUUGUACACACCGCCCGUCGCUCUUACCGAUGGACUUCUCUGUGAGUUUGAGGGACUGGCGUCCACGCCUCGUGUGUGCGAUGCUAUGGAAACUCAAACGAACAGUGUGGUCUAAAGGAAAGAGAAGUCGUAACAAGGCAUCGGUAGGUGAACCUGCAGAAGGAUCA
RNAcentral lists this ribosomal RNA (941 nucleotides) under Monothalamids sp. RNAcentral's name for it is "SSU rRNA". It matches the Rfam family "Eukaryotic small subunit ribosomal RNA", at positions 1160 to 1828 of the family's 1831-position model. Lineage: Eukaryota; Foraminifera. The record is from RNAcentral.